RNAcentral lists this unclassified non-coding RNA (378 nucleotides) under uncultured bacterium. Its description in RNAcentral is "contains 16S-23S intergenic spacer region". The record is from RNAcentral.
UCCGAGUUGACCCCGGCAGUCUCCUAUGAGUCCCCACCAUAACGUGCUGGCAACAUAGGGCGAGGGUUGCGCUCGUUGCGGGACUUAACCCAACAUCUCACGACACGAGCCGACGACAGCCAUGCAGCACCUGUGUCGGCUCCCCUCACGGGGUCAGGCCCCUUUCGGUUUCUUACCACCGACAUGUCAAACCCAGGUAAGGUUUUUCGCGUUGCGUCGAAUUGAACCACAUGCUCCACCGCUUGUGCGGGUCCCCGUCAAUUCCUUUGAGUUUCGGUCUUGCGACCGUACUCCCCAGGCGGAGUGUUUCACGCGUUAGCUGGGCCCCUGAUCCACGUAGACCAAGGGCGAACACUCAUCGUUUACGGCAUGGACUAC